RNAcentral lists this ribosomal RNA (709 nucleotides) under uncultured bacterium. RNAcentral describes it as "bacterial SSU rRNA". It matches the Rfam family "Bacterial small subunit ribosomal RNA", at positions 32 to 775 of the family's 1533-position model. The record is from RNAcentral.
AACGCUGGCGGCACGCCUAACACAUGCAAGUCGAGCGCUUCCCACCAACUUCGGUUGUGGGGAGGAGCGGCGGACGGGUUAGUAACGCGUGGGAAUAUACCCAUCACUGAGGAAUAGCCUCUGGAAACGGAGAGUAAUACCUUAUACGCCCUUCGGGGGAAAGAUUUAUCGGUGAUGGAUUAGCCCGCGUAAGAUUAGAUAGUUGGUGGGGUAACGGCCUACCAAGUCGACGAUCUUUAGCUGGUUUGAGAGGAUGAUCAGCAACACUGGGACUGAGACACGGCCCAGACUCCUACGGGAGGCAGCAGUGGGGAAUCUUAGACAAUGGGCGCAAGCCUGAUCUAGCGAUGCCGCGUGAGUGAUGAAGGUCUUAGGAUCGUAAAGCUCUUUCGCCAGGGAUGAUAAUGACAGUACCUGGUAAAGAAACCCCGGCUAACUCCGUGCCAGCAGCCGCGGUAAUACGGAGGGGGUUAGCGUUGUUCGGAAUUACUGGGCGUAAAGCGCACGUAGGCGGAUUGGAAAGUAGGGGGUGAAAUCCCAGGGCUCAACCCUGGAACUGCCUCCUAAACUAACAGUCUAGAGUUCGAGAGAGGUGAGUGGAAUUCCAAGUGUAGAGGUGAAAUUCGUAGAUAUUUGGAGGAACACCAGUGGCGAAGGCGGCUCACUGGCUCGAUACUGACGCUGAGUGCGAAAGCGUGGGAGCAAACAG